AGGCAAGCGAAAUAUAUGCUUGUGAAUUUUUGGCUGCUUUUUUAUGCUGUAUUUUCAGAUCAAUUUUAUCCCAGUUAAUGUGAAUAUAAACUCUGAUUGUUAUGGCUAUCUCUCGUAGGGUUUCUAUUAUUUUGUCAGAAAUUGUAUCAGGAACUUUAUAUCAAUCACUAAAUUACACAUUUCCAAGCUGCAUAUGAAUUAGGUAUUACUAUGAUCAUUUUACAGAUGAAGAAGAUGAGACUCAGAGCAAUACAUAAGUUGCCCAAGGUCAGAGAGCAAUGACCAUAUCAGAGCACAGUGUACUCCUCUUGCCGUAUUCAGAGGAUUUGCCUAUGGGCAGCAACAUUAUUCUCUCGUUCUCUGGAUAUUAGGAACAAUAUCACAGGACCGGCGGACAGCCCCAGUCAUAUCUGAAAAUAUCACAGCACGGUGUACUCCUCUUGCCGUAUUCAGAGGAUUUGCCUAUGGGCAGAAACAUUCCCCUCUCCUUCUCUGGAUAUUAGAAACAUUAUCACAGGACCGGCAAACAGCCGCAGUCAUAUCGUGAGUAAUGUCAUCUGUAAUCCCCUAGUUAUAAAAAACAACAUCAAGGGGGUCUUGUGCACUUUAUGAGAUACUUAGAGUAAUGUUAGGAUUUGGGUAAUUUACAUGAGGGAGAAUAUUGAGUUGGUGUAUACACUCCAAAACACAGUAGAAAAGGGCAUUGUAUAUUUUUUCUGACAGAUUAUAUUGAGAGCAAUUUUGCUUUUAACAUUGGGGUACCUAGAUAAUAUUUAGAUUUUUUUCGAUUAGCGUAAAUUUAGAAUUUCAGUAUUUUACACAAGAGAGCAUAUUGAAUUGGUGUAUAUACUCCAAAACAGAGUAGAAUAGGGCAUUGUAUAUUAUUUCUGACAGAUCAUAUUCAGAGCAAAUUUGCUUUUAACAUUGGGUUGCCUAGAUAAUAUUUAGAUUUUUUUCGAUUCGCGUAAAUUUAGAAUUUCCAUAUUUUAAAUUAUAGAGCAUAUUGAGUUGGUGUAUAUACUCCAAAACAGAGUAGAAAAGCGCAUUUUAUAUGUUUUCUGACAGAUAAUAUUCAGAGCAAUGUUACUGUUAACAUUGGGGUGCCUAGAUAAUAUUUAGAUUUUUUUCGAUUAGCGUAAAUUUAGAAUUUCAGUAUUUUACAUGAGAGAGCAUAUUGAGUUGGUGUAUAUACUCCAAAACAGAGUAGAAAAGUGCAUUGUAUAUUAUUUCUGACAGAUUAUAUUCAGAGUAAUUUUGCUUUUAACAUUGGGGUGCAUAGAUAAUAUUUAGAAUUUUUUCGAUUCACGUAUAAUUAGAAUUUCGGUAUUUUACAUGAGAGAGCAUAUUGAGUUGGUGUAUAUACUCCAAAACAAAGUAGAAUAGCGCAUUGUAUAUUUUUUCUGACAGAUUAUAUUCAGAGAAAUUUUGCUUUUAACAAUGGUGUGCCUAGAUAAUAUUUAGAUUGUUUCGAUUCACGUAAAAUUAGAAUCUCGGUAUUCUACAUGAGAGAGCAUAUUGAGUUGGUGUGUAUAAUCAGAAACAGUGCAGAAAAGGGCAUUGAAUAUUUUUUCUGACAAAUUAUAUUCAGAGAAAUUUUGCUUAUAACAUUGGGGUGCCUAGAUUAUAUUUACAUUUUUUUCGAUUCGUGUAAAUUAGAAUUUCGGUAUUUUACAUGUGAGAGCCCAUUGAGUUGGUGUAUAUACCCCAAAACAGAGUAGAAUAGGGCAUUGUAUAUUUUUUAUGACAGACUAUAUUCAGAGCAAUUUUUAUUUUAACAUUGCUGUGCCUAGGUAAUAUUCAGAGUUUGUUCGAUUCACGUGAAAUUAGAAUUUCAGUAUUUUACAUGAGAGAGCAUAUUGAGUUGGUGUAUAUACUCCAAAACAGAGUGAAAAAGAGCAUUGUAUACUUUUUCUGACAGAUUAUAUUCAGAGAAGUUUAGCUUUUUACGUUGGGGUUCUUACAUAUUAUUUAGAUUUUUUUCGAUUGGCGUAAAAUCAGAAUUUCCGUAUUUUACAAGAGAGAGCAUAUUGAGUUGGUGUGUAUACUCCAAAACAGAGUAGAAUAAGGCAUUGUAUAUUUUUUUGACAGAUUAUAUUUAUAGCCAUUUUCUUUUAACCUUGGGGUGCCUAGAUAAUAUUUAGAAUUUCUUCGAUUUGCGUAAAAUUAGAAUUUCGGUGUUUUACAUGAGAGAGCAUAUUUAGUUGGUGUAUAUAUUCCAAAAGAGAGUAGAAAAGGGCAUUGUAUAUUUUAUCUGACGAAAUACAUUCAGAGCAAUUUUGCUGUUACCAUUGGGGUGCCUAGAUAAUAUUUAGAUUUCAUUAGAUUAACGUAAAUUUAGAAUUUCGGUAUUUUACAUGAGAGAGCAUAUUGAGUUGGUCCAUAUACUCCAAAACCGAGGAGAAAAGGGCAUUGUAUAUUUUUUCUGACAGAUUAUAAUCAGAGCCAUUUUCUUUCAACAUUGGGGUGUCUAGAUAAUAUUUAGAUUUUUUUCAAUUCGCGUAUAAUAAGAAUUUCGGUAUUUUAUAUGAGAGAGCAUAUUGGGUUUGUGUAUAUACUCCAAAACGAAGUAGAAAAGGGUAUUGUAUAUUUUUUUCUGACAGACUAUAUUCAGAGCAAUUUUGCUUUCAACAUUGGGGUGCCUAGGUAAUAUUUAGAUUUUUUUCGAUUCGCGUAAAUUUAGAAUUUCGGUAUUUUACAUGAGAGAGCAUAUUGAAUUGGUGUAUAUACUCCAAAACAGAGUAGAAAAGGGCAUUGUGUAUUUUUUCUGACAGAUUAUAUUCA
Molecule: long non-coding RNA, 2781 nt
Organism: Callithrix jacchus (white-tufted-ear marmoset)
Lineage: Eukaryota; Metazoa; Chordata; Mammalia; Primates; Cebidae
Source: Ensembl